This 200-nucleotide unclassified non-coding RNA is filed under the name Apiotrichum sp. RNAcentral's name for it is "partial internal transcribed spacer 2". Lineage: Eukaryota; Fungi; Basidiomycota; Tremellomycetes; Trichosporonales; Trichosporonaceae. The record is from RNAcentral.
UUAAGUUCAGCGGGUAGUCCUACCUGAUUUGAGGUCAGAGUCAAAAAUUGCCCGAGGGCGAUUGUAAGCAGUCAUCACAACCUUCACCGACGAAACUUAUUACGCCAGAUAGCAAUAGUAAAACUUGCUAACUCCUUUAAGAGGAGCCAUUUAGAAUGGCAACCUCCAAAUCCAAGCCAUUAAGAAACCCUAAUGGUUGA